Molecule: ribosomal RNA, 1343 nt
Filed under: uncultured bacterium
Lineage: Bacteria
Description: 16S ribosomal RNA
Rfam family: Bacterial small subunit ribosomal RNA
Source: RNAcentral
GACGAACGCUGGCGGCGUGCUUAACACAUGCAAGUCGAACGGAAAGGCCCUGCUUUUGUGGGGUGCUCGAGUGGCGAACGGGUGAGUAACACGUGAGUAACCUGCCCUUGACUUUGGGAUAACUUCAGGAAACUGGGGCUAAUACCGGAUAGGAGCUCCUGCUGCAUGGUGGGGGUUGGAAAGUUUCGGCGGUUGGGGAUGGACUCGCGGCUUAUCAGCUUGUUGGUGGGGUAGUGGCUUACCAAGGCUUUGACGGGUAGCCGGCCUGAGAGGGUGACCGGCCACAUUGGGACUGAGAUACGGCCCAGACUCCUACGGGAGGCAGCAGUGGGGAAUAUUGCACAAUGGGCGGAAGCCUGAUGCAGCAACGCCGCGUGCGGGAUGACGGCCUUCGGGUUGUAAACCGCUUUCGCCUGUGACGAAGCGUGAGUGACGGUAAUGGGUAAAGAAGCACCGGCUAACUACGUGCCAGCAGCCGCGGUGAUACGUAGGGUGCGAGCGUUGUCCGGAUUUAUUGGGCGUAAAGGGCUCGUAGGUGGUUGAUCGCGUCGGAAGUGUAAUCUUGGGGCUUAACCCUGAGCGUGCUUUCGAUACGGGUUGACUUGAGGAAGGUAGGGGAGAAUGGAAUUCCUGGUGGAGCGGUGGAAUGCGCAGAUAUCAGGAGGAACACCAGUGGCGAAGGCGGUUCUCUGGGCCUUUCCUGACGCUGAGGAGCGAAAGCGUGGGGAGCGAACAGGCUUAGAUACCCUGGUAGUCCACGCUGUAAACGGUGGGUACUAGGUGUGGGGUCCAUUCCACGGGUUCCGUGCCGUAGCUAACGCUUUAAGUACCUCGCCUGGGGAGUACGGCCGCAAGGCUAAAACUCAAAGGAAUUGACGGGGCCCCGCACAAGCGGCGGAGCGUGCGGAUUAAUUCGAUGCAACGCGUAGAACCUUACCUGGGUUUGACAUGGAUCGGGAGUGCUCAGAGAUGGGUGUGCCUCUUUUGGGGUCGGUUCACAGGUGGUGCAUGCCUGUCGUCAGCUCGUGUCGUGAGACGUUGGGUUAAGUCCCGCAACGAGCGCAACCCUUGUUCACUGUUGCCAGCACGUUAUGGUGGGGACUCAGUGGAGACCGCCGGGGUCAACUCGGAGGAAGGUGGGGAUGACGUCAAGUCCUCAUGCCCCUUAUGUCCAGGGCUUCACGCAUGCUACAAUGGCUGGUACAGAGAGUGGCGAGCCUGUGAGGGUGAGCGAAUCUCGGAAAGCCGGUCUCAGUUCGGAUCGGGGUCUGCAACACGACCUCAUGAAGUCGGAGUCGCUAGUAAUCGCAGAUCAGCAACGCUGCGGUGAAUACGUUCCCGGG